Ornithorhynchus anatinus (platypus) is the source of this 943-nucleotide long non-coding RNA. RefSeq lists it as uncharacterized. NCBI's taxonomy places the organism in Eukaryota, Metazoa, Chordata, Mammalia, Monotremata, Ornithorhynchidae. The transcript has 4 exons. The record is from RefSeq and is a predicted model, not a curated record.
GCGUAUGCAGACAGACUUAUGCAGAGAAGCAGCACAGAGGCUGCUGAGAUACAGAGACAAGUAAGCAGUGGAGCAGCAGGGGAAUAGCACUCAAAAGCAGCAGAAGGGAGCAGCACUUGGAAGUAGAAAGAAGAAGUACUGGCAGAAUGGGACCCUUUGAUGGUGGAAAGACCUAAUGUGAUUCUAAAAACACUAUCACCAUUUCACAAAUGGGUAAACAGAUAUAAUUAAAGGUGAAGCUGAAGAGAGAAAAGGAAUCCAGUUUGAGUAAGGCCUUUAUAACUUUCCCCAAACAGUUGACCAUGAAGCAGCUGCUGGGAUAGCCUGUUUUAUCCAUUCUUCUCCAAUAUUCCUCCUAUUGGGGCUACACUUUUAGGAGCCUUGCUUCAAAUCUGGAAAACAUGAAUUAUCUCACUGAGAAGUUUGAGGAGAGCCUGAAUUGCUGAGAAGAAACUGAAUUUUCUAGCUAAGAAGUUUAAGAAGAACCUGAAUUGCUGAGGAGAAACUGAAUAAUCUUUCUGAGAAGUCUGUGAAAAGCCUGAAUUACUGGGGAGGAAUGGAAUUGUUUUGCAGUGGAAUUUGAGGAGAAGUUAAAUUGUCCUGCUGAGAAGAAGAAAGAUGCCAGACUGGGGAUAAACCUGUGGGGUAAGAGCUUCAUCAAAUAAUGAGUGGAAGACAGCAGGACCCCCGCUGCACCUCUCUUUCUCUCCUCCCACUUCUCCCAAAACAAAUGAUAAAAGGGGGAAAGAACAGGUCCCGUGGGCCAUGGCAAAACCAUCUAAGACAUGCACUGAGACCCUUACUGUGACUGUGAACAAACCACCUGAGUUGAAUCAGGACAUCAUGCUGCAGGCAGCCGGACUUCUUGAACUCCUCCGACAUGGGACUAUCUGCAUGACUUUGCGGUAAACCACUUAUACUUGUCAUAAUUUAUGCAUGUAAG